UACGAGAGCCCCAAGCGUUAUCCGGAAUUAUUGGGCGUAAAGGGUGCGUAGGUGGUUUUAUUAGUCAGAGGUCAAAGACCGGUGCUUAACAUCGGGAAGGCCUUUGAAACGGUAGAACUUGAGAGUGAGAGAGGUAUAUGGAACUCUUGGUGUAGGGGUGAAAUCCGUUGAUAUCAAGGGGAACACCAAAGGCGAAGGCAAUAUACUGGCUCAUUUCUGACACUGAUGCACGAAACCCUGGGUAGCGAAU
This 250-nucleotide ribosomal RNA is filed under the name uncultured bacterium. RNAcentral describes it as "partial 16S ribosomal RNA". It matches the Rfam family "Bacterial small subunit ribosomal RNA", at positions 524 to 773 of the family's 1533-position model. The record is from RNAcentral.